This 292-nucleotide ribosomal RNA is filed under the name uncultured bacterium. Its description in RNAcentral is "partial 16S ribosomal RNA". The record is from RNAcentral.
GGACUACUCGGGUAUCUAAUCCUGUUUGCUACCCACGCUUUCGUGCCUCAGCGUCAAUAUCGGUCCAGUUGGUCGCCUUCGCCACCGGUGUUCUUCCUAAUAUCUGCGAAUUUCACCUCUACACUAGGAGUUCCACCAACCUCUACCGAAUUCCAGACAGGCAGUCUAAAAAGCAGUUCCAGGGUUAAGCCCUGGGAUUUCACUUCUUACUUACCAAUCCGCCUACGCACGCUUUAAGCCCAGUGAUUCCGAACAACGCUCGCUCCCUUCGUAUUACCGCGGCUGCUGGCAC